This 491-nucleotide ribosomal RNA is filed under the name uncultured bacterium. RNAcentral's name for it is "partial 16S ribosomal RNA". It matches the Rfam family "Bacterial small subunit ribosomal RNA", at positions 29 to 507 of the family's 1533-position model. The record is from RNAcentral.
GUGCACGCUGGCGGUAGGCCUAACACCUGCAAGUCGCACGGCAGCACAGUAAGAGCUUGCUCUUACGGGUGGCGAGUGGCGGACGGGUGAGGGAUACAUCGGAAUCUACUUUUUCGUGGGGGAUAACGUAGGGAAACUUACGCUAAUACCGCAUACGACCUACGGGUGAAAGCAGGGGAUCUUCGGACCUUGCGCGAUUGAAUGAGCCGAUGACGGAUUAGCUAGUUGGCGGGGUAAAGGCCCACCAAGGCGACGAUCCGUAGCUGGUCUGAGAGGAUGAUCAGCCACACUGGAACUGAGACACGGUCCAGACUCCUACGGGAGGCAGCAGUGGGGAAUAUUGGACAAUGGGCGCAAGCCUGAUCCAGCCAUACCGCGUGGGUGAAGAAGGCCUUCGGGUUGUAAAGCCCUUUUGUUGGGAAAGAAAAGCAGCAGGUUAAUACCCCGCUGUUCUGACGGUACCCAAAGAAUAAGCACCGGCUAACUUCGUG